Molecule: ribosomal RNA, 433 nt
Filed under: uncultured bacterium
Lineage: Bacteria
Description: partial 16S ribosomal RNA
Rfam family: Bacterial small subunit ribosomal RNA
Source: RNAcentral
AACGAACGCUGGCGGCAGGCCUAACACAUACAAGUCGAGCGAGGACUUCGGUUCUAGCGGCGGACGGGUGAGUAACGCGUGGGAAUGUGCCCUUCUCUACGGAAUAGCCCUGGGAAACUGGGAGUAAUACCGUAUACGCCCUUUUGGGGAAAGAUUUAUCGGAGAAGGAUCAGCCCGCGUUGGAUUAGGUAGUUGGUGGGGUAAUGGCCUACCAAGCCGACGAUCCAUAGCUGGUUUGAGAGGAUGAUCAGCCACACUGGGACUGAGACACGGCCCAGACUCCUACGGGAGGCAGCAGUGGGGAAUCUUAGACAAUGGGGGCAACCCUGAUCUAGCCAUGCCGCGUGAGUGAUGAAGGCCUUAGGGUUGUAAAGCUCUUUCAGCUGGGAAGAUAAUGACGGUACCAGCAGAAGAAGCCCCGGCUAACUCCGUG